UAGCAGCCGCGGUAAUACAGAGGUGGCAAACGUUGAUCGGAUUUACUGGGCGUAAAGGGUGCGUAGGCGGUCUGAUAUGUCGGAUGUGAAAGCCCACAGCUCAACUGCGGAACUGCAUUCGAAACUGUCAGACUAGAGUGCAUGAGGGGACAGUGGAAUUCCUGGUGUAGCGGUGAAAUGCGUUGAUAUCAGGAAGAACACCGGUGGCGAAGGCGACUGUCUGGAAUGCAACUGACGCUGAGGCACGAAAGCUAGGGGAGCGAACAGGAUUAGAUACCCUGGUAGUCCUAUGCUGUAAACGGUGUGAACUUGGUGCGGGGGGUAUUGACCCCCUCCGUGCCGGAGCUAACGCGCUAAGUUCACCGCCUGGGGAGUACGGCCGCAAGGUUAAAACUCAAAGAAAUUGACGGGGGCCCGCACAAGCGGAGGAGCAUGUGGCUUAAUUCGAUGCAACGCGAAGAACCUUACCAGGGCUCGACAUGGUCGUCCUUCGGGGCCGACCUGUGAAAGCAGGUCUAAGACACACAGGUGCUGCAUGGCUGUCGUCAGUUCGUGCCGUGAGGUGUUGGGUUAAGUCCCGCAACGAACGCAACCCCUAUGUUUAGUUGCCAUCAGGUAAUGCUGGGAACUCUAGACAGACUGCCUGUAUCAAGCAGGAGGAAGGUGGGGAUGACGUCAAGUCAGUAUGGCCCUUACGCCCUGGGCUGCACACGUGCUACAAUGGCCGGUACAGAAGGAAGCAACACCGCGAGGUUGAGCUAAUCCCCAAAGCCGGCCCCAGUUCGGAUUGGAGUCUGCAACUCGACUCCAUGAAGUUGGAUUCGCUAGUAAUGGCGCAUCAGCUACGGCGCCGUGAAUACGUUCCCGGGCCUUGUACACACCGCCCGUCACAUCAUGAAAGCCGUCUGCACCCGUAGUCGCUGUACCAACCCGCAAGGGAGGAAGGUGCCGAAGGUGUGGGUGGUGAUUGGGAUGAAGUCGUAACAAGGUAACCGUA
RNAcentral lists this ribosomal RNA (997 nucleotides) under uncultured bacterium. RNAcentral describes it as "bacterial SSU rRNA". It matches the Rfam family "Bacterial small subunit ribosomal RNA", at positions 509 to 1504 of the family's 1533-position model. The record is from RNAcentral.